GACAGAGGGUGCAAACGUUGUUCGGAAUUACUGGGCGUAAAGCGUGUGUAGGCGGCUUUGUAAGUCGGAUGUGAAAGCCCCGGGCUCAACCCGGGAAGUGCACUCGAUACUGCGAAGCUUGAGUACUGGAGAGGUUGGUGGAAUUCUCGGUGUAGAGGUGAAAUUCGUAGAUAUCGAGAGGAACACCGGUGGCGAAGGCGGCCAACUGGACAGAUACUGACGCUGAGACACGAAAGCGUGGGGAGCAAACAGG
Molecule: ribosomal RNA, 253 nt
Filed under: uncultured bacterium
Lineage: Bacteria
Description: partial 16S ribosomal RNA
Rfam family: Bacterial small subunit ribosomal RNA
Source: RNAcentral